This 497-nucleotide ribosomal RNA is filed under the name uncultured bacterium. Its description in RNAcentral is "partial 16S ribosomal RNA". It matches the Rfam family "Bacterial small subunit ribosomal RNA", at positions 28 to 507 of the family's 1533-position model. The record is from RNAcentral.
GAUGAACGCUGGCGGCGUGCCUAAUACAUGCAAGUCGAGCGAACAGACGAGGAGCUUGCUCCUCUGACGUUAGCGGCGGACGGGUGAGUAACACGUGGAUAACCUACUUAUAAGACUGGGAUAACUUCGGGAAACCGGAGCUAAUACCGGAUAAUAUAUUGAACCGCAUGGUUCAAUAGUGAAAGACGGUUUUGCUGUCACUUAUAGAUGGAUCCGCGCCGCAUUAGCUAGUUGGUAAGGUAACGGCUUACCAAGGCAACAAUGCGUAGCCGACCUGAGAGGGUGAUCGGCCACACUGGAACUGAGACACGGUCCAGACUCCUACGGGAGGCAGCAGUAGGGAAUCUUCCGCAAUGGGCGAAAGCCUGACGGAGCAACGCCGCGUGAGUGAUGAAGGUCUUCGGAUCGUAAAACUCUGUUAUUAGGGAAGAACAAAUGUGUAAGUAGCUAUGCACGUCUUGACGGUACCUAAUCAGAAAGCCACGGCUAACUACGUG